RNAcentral lists this long non-coding RNA (1287 nucleotides) under Equus asinus (donkey). RNAcentral describes it as "lncRNA (ENSEASG00005029548.1)". Lineage: Eukaryota; Metazoa; Chordata; Mammalia; Perissodactyla; Equidae. The record is from RNAcentral.
GUAAGUAAAGCAAUGAGCGCUCCCCCGUCCCCACUAACUUUUGUUUUUUGUUUUCUGGAGGUUAUUUUGGUGAGGAAGAUUGGCCCUGAGCUAACAUCUGUUCCCAAUCUUCCUCUGUUUGCUUGAGGAGGAUUGUUGCUGAGCUAACAUCUGUGCCAAUUCUUGUCUAUUUUGUAUGUGGGAUGCUGCCACAGCAUGGCUUGAUGAGCAAUGCAUAGGUCUGCACCUGGGGUCCAAACCCAUGAACCUCAGGCUGCCGAAGCAGAGUGCACAAACUUAACCACUAUGCCACCAAGCCUGCCCCCACCACCAAUGUUUAAAAUCAGAUACCAUGGGAAGAAAUUACUCAUGUUUUGAGGAGCUUAAAAUCUGAGAGUGGUGGGAGGAGACAAAUGUACCUAUACUCACAAAUGGCUUCUGCAGGUCAGUUUCAUGAGAUUGCAGAUGAAGCAACAAGGAGAUCACGACAGCUCUAGGUCCCCAGGGCCUUUCCUGAGAGUCAGAAGGAGGCCUCGGAUCUGGGGAGAAAAUCUUCGGGCUCAUUAAACCUCACAGUUUGUUCUACCUGGACCUCAUCUGCCCAGCUACAGGAGCUUCCAUGGCCCAGCAGUUUCCACCGAAUAGUUCAGGAGCCAGUGUUCACUCUUUGCAAUGGUGAGCCUCCAGUGAUUUCAGCUGUCAAGUGUUGCUGAUCCCCAGAUUCCUACGAAGGAGAUAGGCAAAGCUUGUAGUCUUCCCUUCCGAAUUUAAUUUAAGCUGCAUGUGUAAUAGAGGAAAUUUGCAGUGUGGCAAAGGGGGCAAGUAAACCAAACAUUGCAAAGCAGUGGGCUAUCUUUCAAUGGGAUUCUGCUGGAAGUCCUUCAGGAACAGUGAGCAAGGAGCAACUAACUCCACCUGAGGCCAAGAACAGGGGAAGGAUGUGCAGAUCAUGGUGGAAAGAUGCAUCACUCGUAUGGAUAGCAGCAACUAAGAAGAAUGAAUAAGUCAGUCAAAUAUGAAGUGCAAAGCAAUUUCAUUCCUUAAAAAACUACAAGAUAGAACAAAGCAUCCACAUCUUUUGCCAGCUGUCUUUGGAAAACUGCUCUGUUUGCUCAUGCGCAGAAAAAAGCCAAGCCUGCGACGGUAUUGACAAGAGCAAGAUGAAUGACCCCCUGGAGACCAUAGGGUGUCAAAGCCAAGAGAGACAAAGCACAAGCUAUUUAUACUUUAUCAAGUCUCAAGAUAAUGGAAAAUAUUUUAUCCCACUUAGAUCUACAGAAGAGUGGAGGAGGAGUGCAGUGACCUUCA